RNAcentral lists this ribosomal RNA (253 nucleotides) under uncultured bacterium. RNAcentral's name for it is "partial 16S ribosomal RNA". It matches the Rfam family "Bacterial small subunit ribosomal RNA", at positions 524 to 776 of the family's 1533-position model. The record is from RNAcentral.
UACGGAGGGGGCUAGCGUUAUUCGGAAUUAUUGGGCGUAAAGGGCGUGUAGGCGGCUUCGUAAGUCUUGUGUGAAAGCCCUCGGCUCAACCGAGGAAUUGCACGAGAAACUGCGUGGCUCGAGUCCGGGAGAGGAUAGUGGAAUUCCCCGUGUAGCGGUGAAAUGCGUAGAUAUUGGGAGGAACACCGGUGGCGAAGGCGGCUAUCUGGACCGGUACUGACGCUGAUACGCGAAAGCCAGGGGAGCAAACGGG